GAAGUAGUUCAGAAAUGUUUAGAAAAGAAGUGAUAUGCUGCCAUUCUUCUCAAAAGUGUCCAUGUGAUGGGUGCUACACAAUACUAUUGCAGUAGGAAUUUAAAAAGCACUCUGGAAGGAUUCAUGUGUCUCACAGCAAUUUGAAACUAAGAGGACAGGAUGAUAUUUCUACUAAAUGGACAUUUGCAAAAGAGAUCCUGGGAAAUGUUCAUUGAAGUUUUUACUUCUUGUCAGAAUAAAGGACAUUUAGCUGUUCCAAUUCAAUAACAGAGACUUCUCAGAAAGCCAUCAGCAUCUACAUAUCCAAUAAUUGAGAUAUCCACCUGAAUAUCCAAAUGAGAAAUAACACUAGCACAAUUCUGUGGUUGGAUUAUUUAUCUGUUUAUUUAUUUAUUCAAAAAUGUAAAGGUAAAACCUUUCGCCAGCAGACACAGCUCCUUGUAAAACCUGAAAGCCAUAUAUUGCUGCCUGAGAACAACUGAUGCUCAGCUAAGCAGCAACUUUAUACGUUUGAUAAUAUUUUUUGUUGAAUAGUUCAGAAGUAAAUGAUUUUUACUAUAAAAUCUGAAACCUUGCUAUUGCUUUUUCAAAUUACCUUCUUUCUCAAACAAGUAGCAAUAGUAACAAUGCUCACUUCUAAUGUUUUUUUCAGUUAGACAUAGCUGCAGAAGACAAAGUAUAUACUGACUUUAGUGACUUGUUACACCUUUCCAGCUGCAAAUGCCAAGAAUGGAAAACUGUUGGGCUUGUCAAAUAUUUGCCUAAGUAAUUUAAAAGUUUCAGGAAAGAAUAAUGAAGAAGCAGCAUUAAAUGGAGGAGGGAAAGAAAAUAGAGAAAGUCAGAUAUGUGCUAGGACUGAAUAGUACCUCCCCCCCAGAAAAAGUGUUAUGUCAUGUAUUGUCCAAAUAUUCACAAAUAUUUUAUUCAGUUCAGAAGAAAACCUGCAUUUUAUGUUACUUAUAUGGCAGGUCACUCAAGUUGACAAGUAUAUAAAAAACUUUUUGUUUUUUCAAUGGCAGAAAGGUAAAUAGAAAUAAUAAUUAAAAACAAAUUCUACCAAGAUGAUAAUUGAUUUGAAAAAAAAAAAAAAUCUGCCCUUAGUGCUGUCUGUUGACUGAUAAAUCAUAGAUCAAAAUCCCUACUAUAAAAUAUUGAAGCAAGUCUUAUACACCUCAGGCAUAGAUUGAGACUUUAAUGACUUGCACAUACUAAAGACCAUUUGAAUCCAAAAUAAAUUCAGAAUGCUGUACUGGUGUCUGAUUUUACCUCAAUUUUAUACCCAUCUACUUAUAGUAAUUCCAACCUUAUUGUUUCUGAAAAAGAAAUGGACAUUCAUUAGGAGUGCAUUUAAAUAUGCAAACCAUGAGAAUGUUCACUAACAGGAUGAUUAUUUUUUCUCCCUUAAUGACCUCCAGAUAUAGGCUAAAAUCAGGCUAGGACAGGGUCACUAGCUCAUAUGUCUAAACUUUUCAGCCUAUGAAUCAUCUUUUAUUUAUUAUUUUUUGUCUUUUGUUGUUGUUGUUUGUUUGUUUGUUUGGAAUCAUGUAUUGGAUACUGCUUUUCAGAUAGCAAAAUUACAUUUUUCUGAAUGCCUUCCUUUUUAAAAUAGACCGUCUUCUGACUGUUCACAAAUUACAUUCCUCAUUUUUACUAAUAAAAAAUGCGUAAGUGUA
Anas platyrhynchos (mallard) is the source of this 1673-nucleotide non-coding RNA. NCBI's taxonomy places the organism in Eukaryota, Metazoa, Chordata, Aves, Anseriformes, Anatidae. The record is from RefSeq and is a predicted model, not a curated record.